Molecule: long non-coding RNA, 1202 nt
Organism: Tympanuchus pallidicinctus (lesser prairie-chicken)
Lineage: Eukaryota; Metazoa; Chordata; Aves; Galliformes; Phasianidae
Exons: 2
Source: RefSeq, a predicted model, not a curated record
AAAAUAAAGCGCCCUUCCUGCUGGGAAGCCACAGCCCGAGGAGUUUUCCAGGUCUUGCUGCUGAUGGAACCCCGAGGGGGGCAGGAGGUGGUUUUCAUCCAUCAGUGCAGGAAUUGCUGUUGUGAUGGGAGCUCUGCAUCCCCCAGCACACAGACACGGAUCUUCAUGGAUCUCUGUAGAACAGAUCCCUGCACGGCGACCAUCGCUUCCUGCUGCCCAAUCUCUCCUCUUUACCGGUGUCCAGCAGGAGAUCGCGGAGCUCUGCAGACAGGGCUGCACCCUGGACGUCAUCUGAAGCUUCUCCCACCAGAAUCGUGCGAUUCUAUGAGCAUUGGAAGGGAUCAGGGUGCUGUGCAUCAGCUCUCCCACAAACCAGCCAUCCUCAUCCGUGUCUCCAAGGAGACAAAUGCUUUCUUCAGCCCAGCCCAGCAGCCCGGCUCGUUGUCUUGAGUUCUCAUUAGGGCCUGAAAAGGAUUGUUGCUACAACAAGAUAAGAACCUUGGAACUAUUGGAGAUUGCAGGUUGCUGAUGACCAUCUCUCGCAUAGGGUGUAAAGGAAGGGCUCUCAGGCAACGUGAACACAGCAGACCUUUUGGGAAGUGUCCCUGCGGUGCUUCCACACUGACGGACACCUCAAGUCCACCCUGCAAGCUGCAGCUCCUGGCUCUUCAGCUCUGGCUUUUGAAAGGAAGAGAUGCAUGCUCACCUCAGUUUCUCUUAACCAGCUCUUAUAUCCUUGCUGCUGGAUACCUGGAGGGCGUUCACCGUAAUGGAACAAAAACAGAGUCCUUCCUCACAGGCGCCUGCAGACUUUGCGUACCAAAACUGUGUAUAGAGUGGAGAGUGGGGGUUCUCAGGCAGCAUGAACUCCACAAACCUUUUGGGAAGCAUUGGGGGGACACCAGGAAGGCGGUACGGGACGGAGCUCUCGUGAAGAAUCUUCCUGAGCAGAAAGAAAUUAACGCCCGAGCUGCAGUGCAGUAUGAAUGCAUGAUCUGGCUUUCAUUUCAAGACCACGUGAACAGCAUCAAGCUCGGAAUUAUGGCGGUUACAGCAGCUUGUGAAGAGCUGAAGGAGACUGAAGGGUUUGGGAAGCUUUUAGGUGUUCCUUGGAAACGAUGCAACUGUUGGCAGCAGAAAUGAGCAGCCCCGUGGUUUUAACAAGAACCUCGUGGUUCUUUGCAAGGUUACAGACAUGAAAU